GCCUGGGUGGCUCAGUGGGUUGAGUAUCCGGCUUCGGCUCAGGUCAUGAUCUCACAGUUUGUGGGUUCAAGCCCCGCAUCAGGCU
RNAcentral lists this transfer RNA (85 nucleotides) under Felis catus (domestic cat). It matches the Rfam family "tRNA". Rfam says of the family: Transfer RNA (tRNA) molecules are approximately 80 nucleotides in length. Their secondary structure includes four short double-helical elements and three loops (D, anti-codon, and T loops). Further hydrogen bonds mediate the characteristic L-shaped molecular structure. tRNAs have two regions of fundamental functional importance: the anti-codon, which is responsible for specific mRNA codon recognition, and the 3' end, to which the tRNAs corresponding amino acid is attached (by aminoacyl-tRNA synthetases). tRNAs cope with the degeneracy of the genetic code in two manners: having more than one tRNA (with a specific anti-codon) for a particular amino acid; and 'wobble' base-pairing, i.e. permitting non-standard base-pairing at the 3rd anti-codon position. The record is from Rfam by way of RNAcentral. RNAcentral also lists the same sequence under 1 other name. Lineage: Eukaryota; Metazoa; Chordata; Mammalia; Carnivora; Felidae.